GGCGGUUCUCGGGUGACGCACCCCUGAAUCGGGCUCCCCCCUCUCUGGUUCCAGAUGCGUCACGCAAGAACAGCA
Molecule: non-coding RNA, 75 nt
Organism: Myotis brandtii (Brandt's bat)
Lineage: Eukaryota; Metazoa; Chordata; Mammalia; Chiroptera; Vespertilionidae
Source: Rfam